Molecule: small RNA, 101 nt
Filed under: Scyphosphaera apsteinii
Lineage: Eukaryota; Haptophyta; Coccosphaerales; Pontosphaeraceae
Description: partial Betaproteobacteria transfer-messenger RNA
Source: RNAcentral
AUGGCCUGGAUGGCUACCUUUGCCAGCAUCCUACUGAACACUUUUGCCUUAAUCAGUGCAAUGGGCGCGGCGAGUGCCGCUUUGGGUUCUGUCUCUGCAGC